This 460-nucleotide ribosomal RNA is filed under the name uncultured bacterium. Its description in RNAcentral is "partial 16S ribosomal RNA". It matches the Rfam family "Bacterial small subunit ribosomal RNA", at positions 338 to 795 of the family's 1533-position model. The record is from RNAcentral.
CCUACGGGAGGCAGCAGUGAGGAAUAUUGGUCAAUGGUCGGGAGACUGAACCAGCCAAGCCGCGUGAGGGAUGAAGGUCCAGUGUAUCGUAAACCUCUUUUGUCAGGGAACAAAGGCGGGGACGUGUCCCCGGAUGAGUGUACCUGAAGAAAAAGCAUCGGCUUACUCCGUGCCAGCAGCCGCGGUAAUACGGAGGAUGCGAGCGUUAUCCGGAUUUAUUGGGGUUAAAGGGUGCGUAGGCGGGUCGUUAAGUCAGUCGUCAAAGGUCCGGGCUCAACCCCCGGACGGCCGUUGAAACUGACAGUCUCGAGUGGGAGAGAGGUAUGCGGAAUGCGCGGUGUAGCGGUGAAAUGCAUAGAUAUCGCGAAGAACUCCGAUUGCGAAGGCAGCAUGCCGGCUCCACACUGACGCUGAGGCACGAAAGCGUGGGUAUCGAACAGGAUUAGAUACCCGAGUAGUC